Molecule: long non-coding RNA, 1501 nt
Organism: Oncorhynchus tshawytscha (Chinook salmon)
Lineage: Eukaryota; Metazoa; Chordata; Actinopteri; Salmoniformes; Salmonidae
Source: Ensembl
CUACAUUCCUGAUCUGACAUGGCUGGAUUGGUGAAAGCUGUGGUAGAACCAUUGCUUACACCUAUCAAUUUGUGUUAGUUCAGUGAUUACUUCAAGGAAGAGAGGAAGAAAGGAUGCACUUCCAAAGUAUUCAAACAGGGUCUUCUUUUCUGGACUUAACCUGAGACUUUUGGGUUCUUCUUUCACCGCAUUCUCGCUGAGCUGGGGAGUGCAGGAGAGCGAUGGACUAAGAUGUCGGGCCAGAGCAGCGGGGAGAGAGAUCGGCCCGUGGUGACGCGAGGGUGUACCUGGGGUCCGUGUCAGAGGACAGGCCACCUCUUAAGUGGCUGGAGCUUGAGCUGCUGAGACAGGAGAACCGCUGCCACUCUGUAACCCUGGGAGACUAAAUCAAACUGAGGUCACAACUGCUCUACAGUGUUGAUCCCACAUGCAGCCUCAGCAAACUCAAGAUUGAAAAGAGAGUAUCCCUUGAAAGCCUGCCAAAGCUCAAGCUGGCCUUUGAGGAAUUUGAAAUGGGUGUCCUAAGAUCACUGGAUGUGCUCAACUUUGGACUGAUAGUGAAGAAGAGUUUGGGCUUUCACAACAUAGAUGAGUUACACAGUGGAGGAGGAGUCGGCGCAGUGUGGCCAACAGGUGGCGUUUUCCCUGCCCACCCCGGUCAGGGACCUGUGCCAUGGAGAGCCCGUUGCCCUGAUGGCACCAUUUUCACCGUUUGCGAGGAUGGUGCUGUCUACUACUGGAGCCCCGGGCUCAUCCUGAAGAGGAGCAAGAGCGAGUGUGCGGGUGCGUGUGGCAGUGACUCAGAACGCAACAGUUAAUCAUCAAGGCAACAAAAAGCAUCAGGAAAAAAGAAUGUGGAAGAAAUGACCAAAGAUUGAGAAUGUGCCUAACAUAGGGAUAGACAAUGCUUUCUCCGAAUGUGACAUACAUACAUACGAUGGAAGGUCCACCAGGACUGGGGGACAAAGGUGAUGUUUAGUAUUUCUCGAUGCACACUGGGAUACCUGUGUGUCUAUCUAUGGAAUAACUAUUUCUGUCUGUUAGAUGAUUAUCUGUAGGGUACAGAAAGGGACCCCCCCUCUCCCCAUAGACUCAACAUGGGAUUUUCAUCAUUUUCAUCUGAAUUUGAAUGCCAUUUAUGUCACGCCCUGACUUUAGUUAUCUUUGUUUUCGUUAUUUAUUUGGUUAGGUCAGGGUGUGACAAGGGUGGUGUGUUUAGUUUUUGUAUUGUCUUGGGGGUUUUGUAUGUCUAGGGGUUUUUCUAGUCUGUUUUUUUUUUGUCUAUGGUUGCCUAGAUUGGUUCUCAAUCAGAGGCAGCUGUUUAUCGUUGUCUCUGAUUGGGAACCAUAUUUAGGUAGCCAUAUUCCUUGCGCAUUUUGUGGGUUAUUGUCUAUGUGUAGUUGCCUGUGUCUGUACUCAGUUGAUUAUAGCUUCAUGUUCGUUUUGUUAUUUUGUAAGUUUGUUUAGUGUUUCUUCAUUUAUUAAAGAGUAUGUAUUUGUA